This is a small nuclear RNA of Eptesicus fuscus (big brown bat), 104 nucleotides long. Lineage: Eukaryota; Metazoa; Chordata; Mammalia; Chiroptera; Vespertilionidae. The record is from RefSeq and is a predicted model, not a curated record.
CUGCUGGCUUCCACAGCACAUUCCCUGAAAUCGGACCGAUACAGGCAUUAGCGUGGCCCCUGCGCAUGGAUGACACACAAAUUCAUGAAGCGUUAAAAAAAAUA